This 539-nucleotide ribosomal RNA is filed under the name uncultured bacterium. RNAcentral's name for it is "bacterial SSU rRNA". It matches the Rfam family "Bacterial small subunit ribosomal RNA", at positions 9 to 543 of the family's 1533-position model. The record is from RNAcentral.
GAGUUUGAUCCUGGUUCAGAUUGAACGCUGGCGGCAUGCUUUACACAUGCAAGUCGAACGGCAGCACGGGGGCAACCCUGGUGGCGAGUGGCGAACGGGUGAGUAACACAUCGGAACAUAUCCUUGAGUGGGGGAUAACGCAGCGAAAGUUGUGCUAAUACCGCAUAAGCUCUGAGGAGGAAAGCAGGGGACCGCAAGGCCUUGCGCUGGAGGGAUGGCCGAUGUCCGAUUAGCUAGUUGGUGGGGUAAAGGCUUACCAAGGCGACGAUCGGUAGCUGGUCUGAGAGGAUGAUCAGCCACACUGGGACUGAGACACGGCCCAGACUCCUACGGGAGGCAGCAGUGGGGAAUUUUGGACAAUGGGGGCAACCCUGAUCCAGCCAUGCCGCGUGAGUGAAGAAGGCCUUCGGGUUGUAAAGCUCUUUCGUGGGGGAAGAAAGGACUUGAGUGAAUAGCUUGAGUUGAUGACGGUACCCCAAGAAGAAGCACCGGCUAACUACGUGCCAGCAGCCGCGGUAAUACGUAGGGUGCGAGCGUUA